RNAcentral lists this long non-coding RNA (4093 nucleotides) under Homo sapiens (human). Its description in RNAcentral is "HSALNT0301842". The record is from RNAcentral. Lineage: Eukaryota; Metazoa; Chordata; Mammalia; Primates; Hominidae.
CCUGGGGCACCCUUUGAUCCUUCACAUGUAGAUGGACAGAGCUGCUCAGAACCCUCCACGAGGUUAUGCACACAGUAGCCCAAAGUCCAAGAGUUCCGGGACAGUCCCUGUUUUCAAAUAUUUAAUUAUGUAUCAAACGAUGCAUCUUGACUUUUCAAAAAAUAUAAGUGACAAGGUUACAGAAUAGAAGUACCAAAGAAAAACAAAAAAAAAGCAAGCAAAACAAAACAAAACAAAACCAACACCCCAAAAUGCAUACAAAUCAGGAUGGAAUUACCAAUUGUUCCCUGUGGAUUUUUCCAUUCCCAUCUCAGAAUGGAAAGAGCAAGCCCAGGACGGACAGUAAUGGCACCCAGCAGCUGCAGAGUGCAAAAGUUCCCACCUGCUGAGAAAACAGCAGGAAUCUUUAGAAGGAAAUUCUCUUCCCUUAUUAGGUAGCAGUAAUUAUGCUGCCAAGAAAAAUCUUGCCUUCAUAGACUUAUGUUGCAUAAGAAAUAAAGUUUAGCUGGAAUGGACAAGUUGAGUUCAAAAAACUACUGAAGAAUCUCCUUCUACUCCCUGUCCUCAGCUUUCCAUUCCAUAGUAACUAGACCCGAGAUUUCAGAGCACAGUAUUGAAGCUGCUGUGCUGCAUAAGUAUCUCACACCCAAAGACUCAGGCAACUAUUCCACAGUUUUCUUUUUGUUUUUUGUUUUUUGUUUUUUUGAGACAGAGUCUCACUCUGUCACCCAGGCUGGAGUGCAGUGGCGCGAUCUCGACUCACUGCAACCUCCGCCUCAUGGGUUCAAGCAAUUCUCCUGUCUCAGCCUCCCAAGUAGCUGAGAUUACAGACCCCCACCACAAUGCCUGGCUAAUUUUUGUAUUUUUAGUUGAGACGGGGUUUCACCAUGUUGGUCAGGCUGGUCUCAAACUCCUGACCUCAAGUUAUCCGCCCACCUCUGCCUCUCAAAGUGCUGAGAUUACAUGCAUGAGCCACCACGCCCAGCCAGUUCCACAGACUUCUAAGGGGCUAUCAGGGAACAAAUGUGUAGUAAAAACUGUUCACCAAGUGUUUAUGAAUCAUCCAAGAAGGUCAGGAUAGGUUUUUGUUUUGCUUUACGGGAGACAUCCUGAAUCUGAAAGGCAGAAGACACCUAUCUGGCAGGUCCAGGGUUAGCACAAUGUAUUCACUGCCCGUUCAAGAAUAGUAACAAUGAUCAUAAUAACAGUCAUAACUAUUGUUUGUUGAGACUAUGUGCUUUAAAUGCAUUAUCUCACUUAAUCCUCAUACCAACUUUGUCAAUAUUCAUAUUUCACCUACAAGAAAAUAGACUUAGUGAUGUGAAGAGACAAUGUCAUACAGCACACAGUGCUAAAGUUGAUAAUCAGACCCAACUCUAUCAAACUCUAAAGGCCAUUUAUUUAACCACCGUGAAAGAAAAUAAAAUCUCAGGACCCCGUUUCAUGAUGCCAAAAGGAAAACAUUAAGCUGAAAGCUGAGUCAUGGCCAGAAAUUGCCUUUCUCUUUGUUCCUAAGCAGACAGCUACAGAUAAAAGGCCGGAUGUCUCCACAGUCAGCUACUCUAUGUUCACCUUAUCAGUGAUCAGUGCUGAUUUACUGAGUGGGAGACGACUACAUAAUUGUCUGUUCUCCUACUUGCUCCUUUUCUCUUGCAACAUGUGGAUUCAGUCAUGUGACCACAUCCUCCCUCUUUCUCUUCCAGCCUGCUUUUCCCCUUUAAAUACUGAAGGCUUCAAAGUGAUCUUUGAAGAAAAGCCCCGACCACAUGCUGUUUCUGUGGUAUCUGUGUUCCUUUCUUCCGGCCAUGUCCUUAACCUUGGCAAAAUAAACUGCUAAGUUGAUUGAGAUCUGUCUCUGAUACUUUUUGAUUUAUACCACUAUACUUUCCAGUCUUUUUUCUUUUUUCUUUUUUUUUUUUUUUUUUUGAGACGGAGUUUCACUCGUUGCCCAGGCUGGAGUGCAGUGGCGCAAUCUCGGCUCACCACAACCUCUGCCUCCCAGGUUGAAGCAAUUCUCCUGCCUCAGCCUCCCAAGUAGCUGGGAUUACAGGCAUCUGCCACCACGCCUGGCUAAUUUUAUUUUAUUUUUUUAGUAGAGACGGGGUUUCUGCAUGUUGGUCAGGCUGGUCUCGAAUUCCUGACCUCAGGUGAUCCACCCGCCUCGGCCUCCCAAAGUGCUGGGAUUACAGGCGUGAGCCACUGCGUACAGCCUCCAGUCUUCUUUAAUAGGCAACAGAUGGAUUUCUAAGCAGUUACCUCAAGAAAAAAAAAAAAAAAGAAAAGGAAAAUUCCGUGAAACAAAUCCACAAGGAUUAGCCAAUCCCUACUUAGUGAUGAUGCCUACAGAAAGUGCUGUUGGCCAGGCUCCAUUCCCUCACCAGUCCCAGCAGCAGAAUCACCUGAGUACUUACAAAAAAGGCAGAUUCUUGGGCCCACCCCCAGAUCUAUUGAAUCAGAAUCUCUGAGAAUAGAGCCUGGGAAUCCUCAUUUAACAUGACCCACCAUACCCCAACUCCCAAGCAAUUCCCCUUCACACUGAAGUUUCAGAAGAGCUGCUUGAAGGAUGAGCAUUCCUCCCAGCUUGCCUGGAAGAUAAGUUUAUACCUGUUAUCCUGGCAUAUCAAUAGUGCCUUGCUUUACCCCCAUAAGUGUUCCAGUUUAGACAACCAACUUGCAUGUAUAUAUUUCUAUAUUUUUUGUACCAAAAUAAACCAUACUGUACAUGCUAUUUUAUAACCUGAAAUUUUUAUGCAAUGAUUUCUACUUUUCCAUAUAAACUUUUAUCUUUUCUCAUACCAGUCUAUAUUCAGAUGUUCUCAGUCAUCUUUAAAACAUUCUCUACAUCUGGUUUAAUCAGUCUACGCAUUGCGUUAUAAUAGUUUCUCUUCUAAACUAGUUAAGUUUCUCUAUCUCUUCCUCCCCACCCCACAUCCCCACUUCUCUCUCUCUCUCUCUCUCUUUAUCUCACACUGACUUGUUAAUAGACUAGGCCAGAUGUAUUAUAGGCUGGGCCAUGUUUUGGAUUUUUCUGGACACUUCUUUAUGGUGUUAGUUUGGUCCCUUGUUUUCUGUAUUUCUUAUCAACUGAAAAUUAGAUUAAAAUUUUUAUUCUUAUCAAGUUUGAGCCAAGUUUGGCUAUACAUCACAAGUAAUGUUGUUUAUUUCAUCUUAUAUCACAUCAGGAACAUGUACUAUCUUGUUGACCCACAAUUAGUGACACUGAGAUCAACCACUGAAUGGAGUGACUUUUUGAUGCAAUGACAGGACACAGUUACAUUCUUUUCCUUGCAACUGGGUAAAAAUCUGUAUGGUAUCACUUUGGCUCUAUAUAAAUAUUCAAUUUCCCAUCAACCUAACGCUUUCAACAAUUUGAUACUUGUUGCCUGAGUUCAGGGUGUUGCAAAAUGUCAGUUCACUAGUUCUAUCAAUCUUCUACAUGAUUAGCAGACCUUCUUCAGUAGAAAAGAGAUUUUUCUUCAUUAUCUGGGACCAUUUAGUUACCAUGAAAAGCAGUUCCUAUUGGAAAGGCAAGUUAAAUGUUUCUUUUUUGUUGUUGUUGUUGUUGUUGUUGAGAGAGUCUCAGUCUGUCUCCAUGGCUAGAGUGCAGUGGUGCAAUCUCAGCUCACUGCAACCACAGCCUCUCGAGUAGCUGGGAUUACAGGCAUGCACCACCACACCCGGCUAAUUUUUGUAUGUUUAGUAGAGAUGGGGUUUUGCCAUUUUGGCCAUGCUGGUCUUGAACUCCUGACCUCAAGUGAUCCAACCACCUUGGCCUUCCAAAGUGCUGGGAUUACAGGCAUGAGCCACCGCACCCAGCCUGAAUGUUUAUUUCUUACGCUUUGAUUAUUUUCAAAUUAAGGAACUAGUUUAAUAGCCACUUGGGCCCAAUUUCUGUGGUCCAUUUGCAAUAUCUCCAUCAAGAGAGCGAGCACCUUCCAGAAAAGUCUAGUGGUUAUAGGAGAACUAAACAAUGCUAAAAACUUUGGCCACAUUAUGCACAGAUACAACUGGCAACCAGAAAUACUCCACUGGAAAUGGUAGCCCUGAUGAGAAGUCAUGGCCUAAGCUAACUAGUUUUUCACAUCUGAUUCUC